Dalotia coriaria is the source of this 292-nucleotide long non-coding RNA. RefSeq lists it as uncharacterized. The record is from RefSeq and is a predicted model, not a curated record. Lineage: Eukaryota; Metazoa; Arthropoda; Insecta; Coleoptera; Staphylinidae. The transcript has 3 exons.
GAUUCUGACAUUUCUUUCAUUCGGUCAAAAGCGCAGGGGGCAAUCACGUUUUCCUAACGACGCGCUUCGCUCGUUAAUUAACAACAAACAAAAUGUUUCGUGGUUUGAUCAGUUUCCUUGUCGGCGUGUAUGCAGGGUUGUAUGUUUGUCAAAACUAUGAAGUACCAAAAGUCGACGACCCUUCGGCAAUACUCAAGAAGUUAAAAGACUUCGCCGACCGUCAUAAAAAAGACUAACUUACAUACAUACACCCCUAGGAAUUGUACACUAGAAAUAAAUUAUGUCAACAUGA